Molecule: long non-coding RNA, 574 nt
Filed under: Pan troglodytes (chimpanzee)
Lineage: Eukaryota; Metazoa; Chordata; Mammalia; Primates; Hominidae
Description: long non-coding RNA NONPTRT009627
Source: RNAcentral
GGGCUCCGCUGUGGCCUGCCCUGCGGCUGGCAGGCCAUCUUCCGGGGAGAGGAGAGGAGAAGAAAUGGUGGUAGAGAAAGAAAGGCAAGGGGAGCUGUGCAGAACCACCCGGAAGCUGGAGAGUUCAACGCGGAGAACCUGCUCUGUGCCAGGCCCCCACCUGGGAGGUGUGGGCAACCUUCCUGCCUUCCGGGUGCUCAGAGUCUAGUCUGGAGACAAUAAGAAAAAUGGUUAAUCACCAUGGAAUGUGCUAGCGCCUUAGCCCGAAGCAGGGGUCUGGUUGUUGAGAUUUUUCUGCAAACAAUUGUGCGUGAAAUCAGGACCCAGAUGCUGCAGAACUGAAGUGGGAAGGGACUGACCACCAGUGGGCAAAAGGCCGAAGAGGGUAGGCCAGAGAGGGGCUGUCUCUAAGGGCUAAAAAUACAAGGGUUGAGACCAACUGAAGUGUGGCGAUUUCCUUGACGUUGGCAUUUUGGUUUUGUUUUCCUUUUUUUAAGAUAAGAGUUAUAUAGUAACUCAGAGCUCAGUAACAUCAGCAUUUUGGAAGUAGGAUAGGAAGAAAGUCUCAUCACAA